Molecule: transfer RNA, 66 nt
Filed under: Pinctada albina
Lineage: Eukaryota; Metazoa; Mollusca; Bivalvia; Pterioida; Pteriidae
Description: tRNA-Phe
Source: RNAcentral
GCCAGGGUAGUUUACAUAUAGAACGGUGCCUUGAAGAGGCGAGAGUGAAGGUUUCUUCCUUUGGCA